Molecule: long non-coding RNA, 735 nt
Organism: Ruditapes philippinarum (Manila clam)
Lineage: Eukaryota; Metazoa; Mollusca; Bivalvia; Venerida; Veneridae
Exons: 4
Source: RefSeq, a predicted model, not a curated record
UUUGUCCUUCAAGACAGAUUAUAAUACUGCUUGAUUAAAACAUUGCUAUUAAGUCCGCAGUAUUUUAUAAAAUAUUGAAUGAUAAUGCCACCCCAACGUUGAAGUUUAUCAUAAUAUAAUCUGUUUUGAAAGUUGGCAGAUCUUUUAAGUUUUACUGUUGAAAGAAUUGUACAACAGUUUUAGCUGUAGGAUAUUCUCACAUAGCUUAAAUAACAUUUGUCAACAAGCUUAAAUCUGUGCGCAAAGGAAAAGAGCAGACGCUACUGGGAACGAAUCAGGCUGGUAACAUUUGUCAACAAGCUUAAAUCUGUGCGCAAAGGAAAAGAGCAGACGCUACUGGGAACAAAUCAGGCUGGGUGCAACUAAAUUACAAAAUGAAGAAACACAUUACAUUUGUGCUCCUGUUUUGUCUUUUUGGAUUGGUGCUUAGCAAAAGUGUAUCGAAUGCAGAAAACAAUGAAUUGUUAAAAGAUACAGAACAUCUUGAAAACCAUCGCUUACGAAGAAAAGCGCCGGAUGAUGGUAGUAACAGAGGGACAAACAUUUUGCCGGAUGAUGAUGGUGGUAGAGGAAGGAAAAUCAUUUUGCUGGGAAAAAAAUAACUCAAUUUAACGAGUAAAUAGACACAGACGAUAUAUUGGACAAGAUUAUAUAAAUUUGUUUGAAUAUGAAACACAACAAAAAUCAAAUGAAAAUUUAAACAAUAUUAAACAAUAUAGUUAUUCUGUUUGCAUA